AACUCAAACUCCUCUCUCUGGGAAAACGCGGUGCUUGCUCCUCCCGGAGUGGCCUUGGCAGGGUGUUGGAGCCCUCGGUCUGCCCCGUCCGGUCUCUGGGGCCAAGGCUGGGUUUCCCUCAUGUAUGGCAAGAGCUCUACUCGUGCGGUGCUUCUUCUCCUUGGCAUACAGCUCACAGCUCUUUGGCCUAUAGCAGCUGUGGAAAUUUAUACCUCCCGGGUGCUGGAGGCUGUUAAUGGGACAGAUGCUCGGUUAAAAUGCACUUUCUCCAGCUUUGCCCCUGUGGGUGAUGCUCUAACAGUGACCUGGAAUUUUCGUCCUCUAGACGGGGGACCUGAGCAGUUUUAUUUUUCUUAGCAGCAAGCACAAGGUUAAGCUCGGAAACAAUUCUUGGGACAGAGACUGAGAGGCCGUUGAAGGGGAAAGCAAGUGACAGAGCUGCAGACAGGACAGUUGGGUUUGCUGGUGUUUCACUU
RNAcentral lists this long non-coding RNA (476 nucleotides) under Homo sapiens (human). Its description in RNAcentral is "non-protein coding lnc-MPZL3-3:2". The record is from RNAcentral. Lineage: Eukaryota; Metazoa; Chordata; Mammalia; Primates; Hominidae.